AUACGGAGGGUGCAAGCGUUACUCGGAAUCACUGGGCGUAAAGCGCGCGCAGGCGGCUAUUUAAGUUGGAUGUGAAAGCCUACGGCUCAACCGUAGAACUGCAUCCAAAACUAUUUAGCUAGAGUGUGGGAGAGGAAGAUGGAAUUAGUUGUGUAGGGGUAAAAUCCGUAGCGAUAACUAGGAAUACCAAAAGCGAAGGCAAUCUUCUGGAACACUACUGACGCUGAGGCGCGAAAGCGUGGGGAGCAAACAGGACUAGAUACCCCAGUAGUCC
Molecule: ribosomal RNA, 274 nt
Filed under: uncultured bacterium
Lineage: Bacteria
Description: partial 16S ribosomal RNA
Rfam family: Bacterial small subunit ribosomal RNA
Source: RNAcentral